UCCCUGGCAGUCCAGUGGUUAAGACUCUACACUUCCAAUGCAGGGGGUGCAGGUUCAAUCCCUGGUCAGGGAA
RNAcentral lists this transfer RNA (73 nucleotides) under Bos taurus (domestic cattle). It matches the Rfam family "tRNA". Rfam says of the family: Transfer RNA (tRNA) molecules are approximately 80 nucleotides in length. Their secondary structure includes four short double-helical elements and three loops (D, anti-codon, and T loops). RNAcentral also lists the same sequence under 5 other names. Lineage: Eukaryota; Metazoa; Chordata; Mammalia; Artiodactyla; Bovidae. The record is from Rfam by way of RNAcentral.